Molecule: ribosomal RNA, 477 nt
Filed under: uncultured bacterium
Lineage: Bacteria
Description: partial 16S ribosomal RNA
Rfam family: Bacterial small subunit ribosomal RNA
Source: RNAcentral
AUUGAACGCUGGCGGCAUGCCUUACACAUGCAAGUCGAACGGUAACAGGUUAAGCUGACGCGUGGCGAACGGGUGAGUCAUCCAUCGGAACGUGCCCAGUAGUGGGGGAUAGCCCGGCGAAAGCCGGAUUAAUACCGCAUACGACCUAAGGGCGAAAGGGGGGGAUCGCAAGACCUCUCGCUAUUGGAGCGGCCGAUGUCAGAUUAGCUAGUUGGUGGGGUAAAAGCUCACCAAGGCGACGAUCUGUAGCUGGUCUGAGAGGACGACCAGCCACACUGGGACUGGGACACGGCCCAGACUCCUACGGGAGGCAGCAGUGGGGAAUUUUGGACAAUGGGCGCAAGCCUGAUCCAGCCAUGCCGCGUGCGGGAAGAAGGCCUUCGGGUUGUAAGCCGCUUUUGUCAGGGGAGAAAUCCUUUGGGUUAAUACCUCGGGGGGAUGACGGUACCUGAAGAAUAAGCACCGGCUAACUACGUG